ACGUAGGGUGCAAGCGUUAAUCGGAAUUACUGGGCGUAAAGCGUGCGCAGGCGGUUUCGUAAGUCUGUCGUGAAAGCCCCGGGCUUAACCUGGGAAUGGCCGUCGAAACUGGCGAACUGGAGUGUGGCAGAGGGGGGUGGAAUUCCGCGUGUAGCAGUGAAAUGCGUAGAGAUACGGAGGAACACCGAUGGCGAAGGCAGCCCCCUGGGCUGACACUGACGCUCAGGCACGAAAGCGUGGGGAGCAAACAGGA
This 253-nucleotide ribosomal RNA is filed under the name uncultured prokaryote. RNAcentral describes it as "partial 16S ribosomal RNA". It matches the Rfam family "Bacterial small subunit ribosomal RNA", at positions 525 to 777 of the family's 1533-position model. The record is from RNAcentral.